GACAGAGGAUGCAAGCAUUAUCCGGAAUGAUUGCGUGUAAAGCGUCUGUAGGUGGCUUUUCAAGUCCGCCGUCAAAUCCCAGGGCUCAACCCUGGACAGGCAGUGGAAACUACCAAGCUGGAGUACAGUAGGGGCAGAGGGAAUUUCCGGUGGAGCGGUGAAAUGCAUUGAGAUCGGAAAGAACACCAAUGGCGAAAGCACUCUGCUGGGCUGACACUGACACUGAGAAACGAAAGCUAGGGGAGCAAAUGGG
This 253-nucleotide ribosomal RNA is filed under the name uncultured bacterium. Its description in RNAcentral is "partial 16S ribosomal RNA". It matches the Rfam family "Bacterial small subunit ribosomal RNA", at positions 524 to 776 of the family's 1533-position model. The record is from RNAcentral.